GUCCAGAUGAUGAGUCCGAAAUAGGACGAAAUGUGCAUCAUGGAC
This 45-nucleotide non-coding RNA is filed under the name Trichobilharzia regenti. The record is from RNAcentral. Lineage: Eukaryota; Metazoa; Platyhelminthes; Trematoda; Strigeidida; Schistosomatidae.